Molecule: ribosomal RNA, 496 nt
Filed under: uncultured bacterium
Lineage: Bacteria
Description: partial 16S ribosomal RNA
Rfam family: Bacterial small subunit ribosomal RNA
Source: RNAcentral
GAUGAACGCUGGCGGCGUGCCUAAUACAUGCAAGUCGAACGCCGGCGCAGGAGCUUGCUCUUUCUGGAUGAGUUGCGAAGGGGUGAGUAACGCGUAGGUAACCUGCCUGGUAGCGGGGGAGAACUAUUGGAAACGAUAGCUAACACCGCAUAACAGUAGAUAUUGCGUGAUAUUUGCUUGAAAGGGGCACUUGCUCGACUACCAGAUGCACCUGCGUUGUAUUAGCUUGUUGGUGCGGUGACGGCCCACCAAGGCGACGGAACAUAGCCGACCUGCGAGGGAGGACGGCCACACUGGGAAUGGGACACCGCCCAGGCUCCUUCGGGGAGCAGCAAGAGGGGAACUUCGGCAAAGGGCGGAAAGCUGGCCGAACAACGCCGCGGUGGGGGAGGAAGGUUUCGGAUCGGAAAGCUCCGUUGUAAGGGAAGAACGAGUGUGAGAGUAGAAAGUUCACGCUGUGACGGUAUCUGACCAAAAAGCAACGGCUAACUACGUG